GUACCCUCAAGCUUUGCUUGGUGUUGGGCGUUUUGUCUUUGCUCGCCAAAGACUCGCCUUAAAACGAUUGGCAGCCGACCUCUUGGUUUCGCAGCGCAGCACAAUUUUGCGCUUGCAAAUCAGCAAGUUGGCACUCCAUCAAGAACAUUUUCUUAC
RNAcentral lists this unclassified non-coding RNA (156 nucleotides) under Curvularia kusanoi. RNAcentral's name for it is "sequence contains ITS2". The record is from RNAcentral. RNAcentral also lists the same sequence under 1 other name. Lineage: Eukaryota; Fungi; Ascomycota; Dothideomycetes; Pleosporales; Pleosporaceae.